AUUGAACGCUGGCGGCAUGCUUUACACAUGCAAGUCGAACGGUAACAGGCCGCAAGGUGCUGACGAGUGGCGAACGGGUGAGUAAUGCAUCGGAACGUGCCCAGUCGUGGGGGAUAACUACUCGAAAGAGUAGCUAAUACCGCAUACGAUCUAUGGAUGAAAGCGGGGGACCGUAAGGCCUCGCGCGAUUGGAGCGGCCGAUGUCGGAUUAGGUAGUUGGUGGGGUAAAGGCUCACCAAGCCAACGAUCUGUAGCUGGUCUGAGAGGACGACCAGCCACACUGGGACUGAGACACGGCCCAGACUCCUACGGGAGGCAGCAGUGGGGAAUUUUGGACAAUGGGCGCAAGCCUGAUCCAGCAAUGCCGCGUGCAGGAAGAAGGCCUUCGGGUUGUCAACUGCUUUUGUACGGAACGAAACGGCUCUGGUUAAUACCCGGGGCUAAUGACGGUACCGUAAGAAUAAGCACCGGCUAACUACGUG
Molecule: ribosomal RNA, 482 nt
Filed under: uncultured bacterium
Lineage: Bacteria
Description: partial 16S ribosomal RNA
Rfam family: Bacterial small subunit ribosomal RNA
Source: RNAcentral